GGCUCUAUGGUGCAGCGGCUAGCACAUCUGACACUUAUUCAGAAGAUGUAUGUUCGAUUCAUACUGGGGCCA
This 72-nucleotide transfer RNA is filed under the name Pseudocercospora fijiensis CIRAD86. Its description in RNAcentral is "tRNA-Lys (CTT) (tRNA-Lys-CTT-3-1)". It matches the Rfam family "tRNA". From Rfam's summary of the family: Transfer RNA (tRNA) molecules are approximately 80 nucleotides in length. Their secondary structure includes four short double-helical elements and three loops (D, anti-codon, and T loops). Further hydrogen bonds mediate the characteristic L-shaped molecular structure. tRNAs have two regions of fundamental functional importance: the anti-codon, which is responsible for specific mRNA codon recognition, and the 3' end, to which the tRNAs corresponding amino acid is attached (by aminoacyl-tRNA synthetases). tRNAs cope with the degeneracy of the genetic code in two manners: having more than one tRNA (with a specific anti-codon) for a particular amino acid; and 'wobble' base-pairing, i.e. permitting non-standard base-pairing at the 3rd anti-codon position. Lineage: Eukaryota; Fungi; Ascomycota; Dothideomycetes; Mycosphaerellales; Mycosphaerellaceae. The record is from RNAcentral.